This 75-nucleotide transfer RNA is filed under the name Candidatus Woesearchaeota archaeon. RNAcentral's name for it is "tRNA-Arg". It matches the Rfam family "tRNA". Rfam says of the family: Transfer RNA (tRNA) molecules are approximately 80 nucleotides in length. Lineage: Archaea; Nanobdellati; Candidatus Woesearchaeota. The record is from RNAcentral.
GGACUCGUAGCUCAGCUUGGACAGAGCGAAAGCCUUCUAAGCUUUAGGUCCAGGGUUCGAAUCCCUGCGGGUCCG